GCUAUCAGCAUUGCUUCAUUGCACUAGAGGAAAGAAGAAUUCAGAGUCUGUUCAGGAGAAUCAGUGUACACAUGUCAGGUUCCAGCACAAGCAGCAAGCAAAAAACAACUUGCCAUUCCCUCCUACAUAGAGAGCAUUGAAGAGAUGGAGACAAUGGAAGUCACACACACCUACAACUCUUAUCUUGCCUUUAUUUGCAUUCACUUGUGUUCAACAAAAGUACCUUAUAACUGAGCAAUUGAGAAGUAAACAAUACAACUUAGUCCUAUACAUGGUUUGGACCUUUAUGACACAUAAUAAAGACAAAAAUUAGUUCAUGACACCUGUUUUGCAAUUCAGUCUCCCGUAACACUGAAGCCUGAAGUUGCUCCGUUUCCAGUUUAGCUGCAUCUGACACCAAUGUUAAAUGUUGCACCUCCUCCUGGAGGACCUUAUUUUCCCUCUGGCAUUCACCUAGCCUUUGGUUCACACUGGACAGUUCUGGAAAGAAAAUGAAAUAGUGCUGAAGAUACAAGAUAAAAUUGUAAACACAGCAGCAAUAAAAAUGUUCACAUUCUA
Sceloporus undulatus (fence lizard) is the source of this 558-nucleotide long non-coding RNA. RefSeq lists it as uncharacterized. The record is from RefSeq and is a predicted model, not a curated record. Lineage: Eukaryota; Metazoa; Chordata; Lepidosauria; Squamata; Phrynosomatidae. The transcript is spliced from 4 exons.